UUGGCCUACGGGAGGCAGCAGUAAGGGAUAUUGGUCAAUGGGGGAAACCCUGAACCAGCAACGCCGCGUGAGGGAAGACGGUUUUCGGAUUGUAAACCUCUGUCCUCUGUGAAGAUGAUGACGGUAGCAGAGGAGGAAGCUCCGGCCAACUACGUGCCAGCAGCCGCGGUAAUACGUAGGGGGCAAGCGUUAUCCGGAUUUACUGGGUGUAAAGGGAGCGUAGACGGCAGAGCAAGUCUGAAGUGAAAGCCCGCGGCCCAACUGCGGGACUGCUUUGGAAACUGCCCGGCUAGAGUGCUGGAGAG
This 305-nucleotide ribosomal RNA is filed under the name uncultured bacterium. RNAcentral describes it as "bacterial SSU rRNA". It matches the Rfam family "Bacterial small subunit ribosomal RNA", at positions 334 to 656 of the family's 1533-position model. The record is from RNAcentral.